RNAcentral lists this ribosomal RNA (465 nucleotides) under Vreelandella stevensii. RNAcentral's name for it is "partial 16S ribosomal RNA". It matches the Rfam family "Bacterial small subunit ribosomal RNA", at positions 338 to 795 of the family's 1533-position model. Lineage: Bacteria; Pseudomonadati; Pseudomonadota; Gammaproteobacteria; Oceanospirillales; Halomonadaceae. The record is from RNAcentral.
CCUACGGGCGGCAGCAGUGGGGAAUAUUGGACAAUGGGGGCAACCCUGAUCCAGCCAUGCCGCGUGUGUGAAGAAGGCCCUCGGGUUGUAAAGCACUUUCAGUGAGGAAGAACGCCUGGUGGUUAAUACCCAUCAGGAAAGACAUCACUCACAGAAGAAGCACCGGCUAACUCCGUGCCAGCAGCCGCGGUAAUACGGAGGGUGCGAGCGUUAAUCGGAAUUACUGGGCGUAAAGCGCGCGUAGGUGGCUUGAUAAGCCGGUUGUGAAAGCCCCGGGCUCAACCUGGGAACGGCAUCCGGAACUGUCAAGCUAGAGUGCAGGAGAGGAAGGUAGAAUUCCCGGUGUAGCGGUGAAAGGCGUAGAGAUCGGGAGGAAUACCAGUGGCGAAGGCGGCCUUCUGGACUGACACUGACACUGAGGUGCGAAAGCGUGGGUAGCAAACAGGAUUAGAUACCCUAGUAGUC